UACGGGAGGCAGCAGUGGGGAAUAUUGCACAAUGGGCGCAAGCCUGAUGCAGCGACGCCGCGUGAGGGAUGACGGCCUUCGGGUUGUAAACCUCUUUCAGUAGGGAAGAAGCGAGAGUGACGGUACCUGCAGAAGAAGCGCCGGCUAACUACGUGCCAGCAGCCGCGGUAAUACGUAGGGCGCAAGCGUUAUCCGGAAUUAUUGGGCGUAAAGAGCUCGUAGGCGGUUUGUCGCGUCUGCCGUGAAAGUCCGGGGCUCAACUCCGGAUCUGCGGUGGGUACGGGCAGACUAGAGUGAUGUAGGGGAGACUGGAAUUCCUGGUGUAGCGGUGAAAUGCGCAGAUAUCAGGAGGAACACCGAUGGCGAAGGCAGGUCUCUGGGCAUUAACUGACGCUGAGGAGCGAAAGCAUGGGGAGCGAACAGGAUUAGAUACCCUGGUAGUCCAUGCCGUAAACGUUGGGCACUAGGUGUGGGGGACAUUCCACGUUUUUCGCGCC
This 497-nucleotide ribosomal RNA is filed under the name Micrococcaceae bacterium M2_10_2BO2. RNAcentral's name for it is "bacterial SSU rRNA". It matches the Rfam family "Bacterial small subunit ribosomal RNA", at positions 340 to 847 of the family's 1533-position model. Lineage: Bacteria; Bacillati; Actinomycetota; Actinomycetes; Micrococcales; Micrococcaceae. The record is from RNAcentral.